This is a non-coding RNA of Ictidomys tridecemlineatus (thirteen-lined ground squirrel), 69 nucleotides long. Lineage: Eukaryota; Metazoa; Chordata; Mammalia; Rodentia; Sciuridae. The record is from Rfam.
GGGGUUGUGGCUCAGUGGUAGAGCACUUGCCUUGCAUGUGUGAGGUGCUUGGUUCUAUUCUCAACACCA